Molecule: long non-coding RNA, 350 nt
Organism: Centropristis striata (black sea bass)
Lineage: Eukaryota; Metazoa; Chordata; Actinopteri; Perciformes; Serranidae
Exons: 3
Source: RefSeq, a predicted model, not a curated record
AUUACAAUGAAUCUUUCCUCGUCUCUGUAGGACCCGACUCACAAGAACGUGUCCUAUCAAGGAAGCAUCCUUGAUGUUGGGAAACAGCAACAGUUUGGAAACACUUCAGAUGAAGCACAAAUCUCACCUCUGUUUCACUUGAUGAGGCUGGAGGGUAGAAAACAUGCUUCUUGAUGGUUGAUAAGAACUUUGCAGUGGGGGAUUUUUUCCCCCCACAAGAGCAUGAAGGACAAUAAAUAAAUGGUGCUGCCAAGGCCCAGGUUUUGUCUGGAGAAGAAGGAAGGUUUCAAUUAAAGCCUCCUUCAUCUCCAUCUCUUCUUCAUGAGUGGAGUGGAUCUAACGGGUAAAUC